UUGCUUCAAUUAAAGCUCAAUAAAUUAAUGACUUCAAACGUUUGAAAUUGAUUAUAACAAACAUAUUUUUUCAAAUAAAAUGCAGUUAAAGCUGCAUUCACAUACUAAACAUAAAAAAGACGACACAAUAAUGUAGAACCAGUAGAUUUAUUAUUAAUGAUAUCCCGACAAGAUACGCAAGCAAGACACAUUUCACGAACACAAACCGCUGAGGCACAAUGGAUUGCGGAACAUCACUCUUCGGCGUGCACUUUACUUUCUUCUACACCCUCACCGAGUUCUUGACGAUUUUGCUGUACCUGGAUAAGUCGUCUGGUUUAUGCGCUGCCUUCUCUUUUAACUUCCCGAUUAUGUAUUUAAAACUGAUUAUCUUCUUGUGGGGUGUAACGUUCAGAUUCCGAAUCGCUUACGACGUGGAGGUGGAAAUCGUCCUGCCGACUUUCACCUGCACGAUAUCGUCGGCCAGCAAAAUGGGAUUGCUCAUGUCGUCGGUGCGAGCGAGUUUAAACCUUUCCUCCGUAACACCCAACAUCAAAAUAAUGAUACCUAUGGUGAAAAAAUUUAACAAUUCCACAUUUGUAAUUGCUCCAUUCUUCAUAAUGCCGCUGUAUACGUGUACAGACACCGCGUAUCCGAAAAUAAUGAACUAGAAGAAGCAAAGACGAUGAAACACGGUGAAAAACUGUGAGGAAAAAGGUUUAAACUAGAAGCACGACACACGCUGAAAUUUUACGUAAAGUUGGAUGGUUGUCGGUUGUCCGUUUUGUUUUCGUAUCUAAGAGCCGUUGUCGAAAAAAUACAAAUUUCCCGACAAAAUAAACUGUAAACGUAUUGAUUACAUCAAACGAGAGAAAGAGACCCAUCCUUAUCCAGUGCCAUGAUGUUGAUUAAAAUGUACUUCGGUUAAA
Molecule: long non-coding RNA, 908 nt
Organism: Cimex lectularius (bed bug)
Lineage: Eukaryota; Metazoa; Arthropoda; Insecta; Hemiptera; Cimicidae
Exons: 2
Source: RefSeq, a predicted model, not a curated record